AAGAUUCUAUGGACUAAGGAGCUGAUGAAGUAGUUUGCGGUGUUGCACAGUUCGCCUCAACUUUUUCUUUGUUUCUGUAGAACGGAAAUCCCUUGUGGAUAAACCUUCGUCAAAAAGAGACUUUCACAGAUUUUCACGUUGCUAUGUAACUAAAGGGACAAUUACUCUGAAAAGAGGAAAUUAUAAUGAAGGACUUCGUACUACCUGACUGGUUGUGGAGGUGGGGAAGGACAACCUACACAAAAGUGGUCGCACAGGUUGUGGCUGAAUAUCUGCGCGUAACCUUGUCUACUUAGAGAGCAUUGGUAUUGGACUCUUAGAUUUUACUGGUUUGCUUGAAUUGGGACAUACUACACAAUUUAUUCGAAGGCACGUGAAACCCAAUUAUGUUGAACGAUAUAACGCGUUGCUCAAAAUUUACGCAUAGUGUUGUACCUUAUGUUAAAUUUGGUUUAUAAGCAUACUUCAUCAUUGCAUUAUGUAACAACAAUCAAGUACGAAUAAUUUUAUACUAACAAUAAGACAUAGACUAGAAAAACAUAAAAUUGCACAUAUAUAUAUAU
Molecule: long non-coding RNA, 563 nt
Organism: Cephus cinctus (wheat stem sawfly)
Lineage: Eukaryota; Metazoa; Arthropoda; Insecta; Hymenoptera; Cephidae
Exons: 2
Source: RefSeq, a predicted model, not a curated record